This 393-nucleotide ribosomal RNA is filed under the name uncultured bacterium. RNAcentral describes it as "partial 16S ribosomal RNA". It matches the Rfam family "Bacterial small subunit ribosomal RNA", at positions 523 to 918 of the family's 1533-position model. The record is from RNAcentral.
AUACGGAGGAUCCGAGCGUUAUCCGGAUUUAUUGGGUUUAAAGGGAGCGUAGGUGGAUUGUUAAGUCAGUUGUGAAAGUUUGCGGCUCAACCGUAAAAUUGCAGUUGAAACUGGCAGUCUUGAGUACAGUAGAGGUGGGCGGAAUUCGUGGUGUAGCGGUGAAAUGCAUAGAUAUGACGAAGAACACCGAUUGCGUAGGCAGCUGACCAGACCGCAAAUGACGCUCAUGCACGAAAGUGCGGGGAUCGAACAGGAUUAGAUACCCUGGUAGUCCGCACAGUAAACGAUGAAUACUUGUUUUCGGCGAUAUAAUGUCGGAGGCAAAGCGAAAGCGAUAAGUAUUCCACCUGGGGAGUACGCCGGCAACGGUGAAACUCAAAUGAAUUGACGGGG